Molecule: ribosomal RNA, 492 nt
Filed under: uncultured bacterium
Lineage: Bacteria
Description: partial 16S ribosomal RNA
Rfam family: Bacterial small subunit ribosomal RNA
Source: RNAcentral
AGUGAACGCUGGCGGUAGGCCUAACACAUGCAAGUCGAACGGCAGCACAGUAAGAGCGUGCUGUUACCGGGGGGGGGUGGCGGACGGGUGAGGAGUAUAUCGGAACCUGGUCUUUCGGGGGGCUUAACGUAGGGAAACUUACGCUAAUACCGCAGAUGCCGCACCGGGGAAAGCAGGGGAUCUUCUGACCUUGCGCGAAUGAACGCGCUGAUGUCGUAUUGGCUGGUUGGGGGGGUAAUGGCCCACCAAGGCGACGAUUCGCAGCUGGUCUGAGAGGCUGAUCAGCCACCCUGGAGCUGAGCCGGGGACCAUACUCCUGCGGUAGGCAGCAGUCGGGAAUUUUAGGCAAUGGGGGAGAGCAUGAUCCAGCGAGACCGCGUGUGUGAAGACGGCCUCCGGGUUGUAAAGCCCUUUUGUUGGGUGAGAAGAGCAGCCGGUUAAGACGCCGCUGUACUGACGGUACCCGAAGAAUAAGCACCGGCUAACUUCGUG